UUGUAAGUGUCUAAGGGCGCAUGGUGGAUGCCUUGGCAUCGAGAGCCGAUGAAGGACGUGGGAGGCUGCGAUAUGCCUCGGGGAGCUGUCAACCGAGCGUGGAUCCGAGGAUUUCCGAAUGGGGAAACCCAGCACGAGUGAUGUCGUGCUACCCGCAUCUGAAUAUAUAGGGUGCGGGAGGGAACGCGGGGAAGUGAAACAUCUCAGUACCCGUAGGAGGAGAAAACAAUUGUGAUUCCGCAAGUAGUGGCGAGCGAACGCGGAACAGGCUAAACCGCACGCAUGGGUAACCGGGUAGGGGUUGUGUGUGCGGGGUUGUGGGAGGAUAUGUCUCAGCGCUACCCGGCUGAGAGGCAGUCAGAAAGUGUCGUGGUUAGCGGAAGUGGCCUGGGAUGGUCUGCCGUAGACGGUGAGAGCCCGGUACGCGAAAACCCGGCACCUGCCUAGUAUCAAUUCCCGAGUAGCAGCGGGCCCGUGGAAUCCGCUGUGAAUCCGCCGGGACCACCCGGUAAGCCUAAAUACUCCUCGAUGACCGAUAGCGGAUUAGUACCGUGAGGGAAUGGUGAAAAGUACCCCGGGAGGGGAGUGAAAGAGUACCUGAAACCGUGUGCCUACAAUCCGUCAGAGCCUCCUUUUCCUCUCCGGAGGAGGGUGGUGAUGGCGUGCCUUUUGAAGAAUGAGCCUGCGAGUCAGGGACAUGUCGCAAGGUUAACCCGUGUGGGGUAGCCGCAGCGAAAGCGAGUCUGAAUAGGGCGACCCACACGCGCAUACGCGCGUGUGAAUAGUGGCGUGUUCUGGACCCGAAGCGGAGUGAUCUACCCAUGGCCAGGGUGAAGCGCGGGUAAGACCGCGUGGAGGCCCGAACCCACUUAGGUUGAAGACUGAGGGGAUGAGCUGUGGGUAGGGGUGAAAGGCCAAUCAAACUCCGUGAUAGCUGGUUCUCCCCGAAAUGCAUUUAGGUGCAGCGUUGCGUGGUUCACCGCGGAGGUAGAGCUACUGGAUGGCCGAUGGGCCCUACUAGGUUACUGACGUCAGCCAAACUCCGAAUGCCGUGGUGUAAAGCGUGGCAGUGAGACGGCGGGGGAUAAGCUCCGUACGUCGAAAGGGAAACAGCCCAGAUCGCCGGCUAAGGCCCCCAAGCGUGUGCUAAGUGGGAAAGGAUGUGCAGUCGCAAAGACAACCAGGAGGUUGGCUUAGAAGCAGCCACCCUUGAAAGAGUGCGUAAUAGCUCACUGGUCAAGUGAUUGUGCGCCGAUAAUGUAGCGGGGCUCAAGCACACCGCCGAAGCCGCGGCACAUCCACCUUGUGGUGGGUGUGGGUAGGGGAGCGUCCCUCAUUCAGCGAAGCCACCGGGUGACCGGUGGUGGAGGGUGGGGGAGUGAGAAUGCAGGCAUGAGUAGCGACAAGGCAAGUGAGAACCUUGCCCGCCGAAAGACCAAGGGUUCCUGGGCCAGGCCAGUCCGCCCAGGGUGAGUCGGGACCUAAGGCGAGGCCGACAGGCGUAGUCGAUGGACAACGGGUUGAUAUUCCCGUACCCGUGUGUGGGCGCCCGUGACGAAUCAGCGGUACUAACCACCCAAAACCGGAUCGAUCACUCCCCUUCGGGGGUGUGGAGUUCUGGGGCUGCGUGGGAACUUCGCUGGUAGUAGUCAAGCGAAGGGGUGACGCAGGAAGGUAGCCGUACCAGUCAGUGGUAACACUGGGGCAAGCCGGUAGGGAGAGCGAUAGGCAAAUCCGUCGCUCACUAAUCCUGAGAGGUGACGCAUAGCCGGUUGAGGCGAAUUCGGUGAUCCUCUGCUGCCAAGAAAAGCCUCUAGCGAGCACACACACGGCCCGUACCCCAAACCGACACAGGUGGUCAGGUAGAGCAUACCAAGGCGUACGAGAUAACUAUGGUUAAGGAACUCGGCAAAAUGCCCCCGUAACUUCGGGAGAAGGGGGACCGGAAUAUCGUGAACACCCUUGCGGUGGGAGCGGGAUCCGGUCGCAGAAACCAGUGAGGAGCGACUGUUUACUAAAAACACAGGUCCGUGCGAAGUCGCAAGACGAUGUAUACGGACUGACGCCUGCCCGGUGCUGGAAGGUUAAGAGGACCCGUUAACCCGCAAGGGUGAAGCGGAGAAUUUAAGCCCCAGUAAACGGCGGUGGUAACUAUAACCAUCCUAAGGUAGCGAAAUUCCUUGUCGGGUAAGUUCCGACCUGCACGAAUGGCGUAACGACUUCUCAACUGUCUCAACCAUAGACUCGGCGAAAUUGCACUACGAGUAAAGAUGCUCGUUACGCGCGGCAGGACGAAAAGACCCCGGGACCUUCA
RNAcentral lists this ribosomal RNA (2314 nucleotides) under Mycobacterium tuberculosis. RNAcentral's name for it is "partial 23S ribosomal RNA". It matches the Rfam family "Bacterial large subunit ribosomal RNA", at positions 1 to 2103 of the family's 2925-position model. Lineage: Bacteria; Bacillati; Actinomycetota; Actinomycetes; Mycobacteriales; Mycobacteriaceae. The record is from RNAcentral.